Molecule: ribosomal RNA, 596 nt
Filed under: uncultured Actinomycetes bacterium
Lineage: Bacteria; Bacillati; Actinomycetota; Actinomycetes
Description: bacterial SSU rRNA
Rfam family: Bacterial small subunit ribosomal RNA
Source: RNAcentral
GAUGUGCUCGCGGCCUAUCAGCUUGUUGGUGAGGUAACGGCUCACCAAGGCUUCGACGGGUAGCCGGCCUGAGAGGGUGACCGGCCACACUGGGACUGAGACACGGCCCAGACUCCUACGGGAGGCAGCAGUGGGGAAUAUUGGACAACGGGCGAAAGCCUGAUCCAGCAACGCCGCGUGAGGGAUGACGGCCUUCGGGUUGUAAACCUCUUUCAGUACCGACGAAGCGCCUCUAGGGGUGGUGACGGUAGGUACAGAAGAAGGACCGGCCAACUACGUGCCAGCAGCCGCGGUAAUACGUAGGGUCCGAGCGUUGUCCGGAAUUAUUGGGCGUAAAGGGCUCGUAGGCGGUCUGUCGCGUCGGGAGUGAAAUUUUACAGCUUAACUGUGAACGUGCUUUCGAUACGGGCAGACUUGAGGUAUUCAGGGGAGAACGGAAUUCCUGGUGUAGCGGUGAAAUGCGCAGAUAUCAGGAGGAACACCGGUGGCGAAGGCGGUUCUCUGGGAAUAUCCUGACGCUGAGGAGCGAAAGUGUGGGGAGCGAACAGGAUUAGAUACCCUGGUAGUCCACACCGUAAACGUUGGGCGCUAGGUGU